Molecule: ribosomal RNA, 507 nt
Filed under: uncultured Dechloromonas sp.
Lineage: Bacteria; Pseudomonadati; Pseudomonadota; Betaproteobacteria; Rhodocyclales; Azonexaceae
Description: bacterial SSU rRNA
Rfam family: Bacterial small subunit ribosomal RNA
Source: RNAcentral
UAGAGUUUGAUCCUGGCGUCAGAUUGAACGCUGGCGGCAUGCCUUACACAUGCAAGUCGAACGGCGAGCGGGGACUUCGGUCCGCCGGCGAGUGGCGAACGGGUGAGUAAAGUAUCGGAACGUACCUUUCAGUGGGGGAUAACGUAGCGAAAGUUACGCUAAUACCGCAUAUUCUGUGAGCAGGAAAGCAGGGGAUCGCAAGACCUUGCGCUGAUUGAGCGGCCGAUAUCAGAUUAGCUAGUUGGUGGGGUAAAGGCCUACCAAGGCGACGAUCUGUAGCGGGUCUGAGAGGAUGAUCCGCCACACUGGAACUGAGACACGGUCCAGACUCCUACGGGAGGCAGCAGUGGGGAAUUUUGGACAAUGGGGGCAACCCUGAUCCAGCCAUGCCGCGUGAGUGAAGAAGGCCUUCGGGUUGUAAAGCUCUUUCGGCCGGAAAGAAAUCGCAUAGGUUAAUACCCUGUGUGGAUGACGGUACCGGAAUAAGAAGCACCGGCUAACUACGUG